RNAcentral lists this ribosomal RNA (787 nucleotides) under uncultured bacterium. RNAcentral's name for it is "bacterial SSU rRNA". It matches the Rfam family "Bacterial small subunit ribosomal RNA", at positions 60 to 860 of the family's 1533-position model. The record is from RNAcentral.
AGUCGAACGAGCGAGAGAGAGCUUGCUUUCUCGAGCGAGUGGCGAACGGGUGAGUAACGCGUGAGGAACCUGCCUCAAAGAGGGGGACAACAGUUGGAAACGACUGCUAAUACCGCAUAAGCCCACGGGUCGGCAUCGACCAGAGGGAAAAGGAGCAAUCCGCUUUGAGAUGGCCUCGCGUCCGAUUAGCUAGUUGGUGAGGUAACGGCCCACCAAGGCGACGAUCGGUAGCCGGACUGAGAGGUUGAACGGCCACAUUUGGACUGAGACACGGCCCAGACUCCUACGGGAGGCAGCAGUGGGGAAUAUUGCACAAUGGGGGAAACCCUGAUGCAGCGACGCCGCGUGGAGGAAGAAGGUCUUCGGAUUGUAAACUCCUGUUGUUGGGGAAGAUAAUGACGGUACCCAACAAGGAAGUGACGGCUAACUACGUGCCAGCAGCCGCGGUAAAACGUAGGUCACAAGCGUUGUCCGGAAUUACUGGGUGUAAAGGGAGCGCAGGCGGGAAGACAAGUUGGAAGUGAAAUCUAUGGGCUCAACCCAUAAACUGCUUUCAAAACUGUUUUUCUUGAGUAGUGCAGAGGUAGGCGGAAUUCCCGGUGUAGCGGUGGAAUGCGUAGAUAUCGGGAGGAACACCAGUGGCGAAGGCGGCCUACUAGGCACCAACUGACGCUGAGGCUCGAAGGUGUGGGUAGCAAACAGGAUUAGAUACCCUGGUAGUCCACACCGUAAACGAUGAUUACUAGGUGUUGGAGGAUUGACCCCUUCAGUGCCGCAGUUAACACAA